AGAGUUUGAUCCUGGCUCAGGAUGAACGCUAGCGGUAGGCUUAACACAUGCAAGUCGAGGGGCAGCACGGUAGCAAUACUGGUGGCGACCGGCGCACGGGUGAGUAACGCGUAUGCAACCUACCUUUAACUGGAGGAUAGCUUCGAGAAAUCGUAAUUAAUACUCCAUAACAUCUACGAGUCGCAUGGCUUGUAGAUUAAAGCUCCGGCGGUUAAAGAUGGGCAUGCGUAUCAUUAGCUUGUUGGUGAGGUAACGGCUCACCAAGGCUACGAUGAUUAGGGGGUCUGAGAGGAUGGUCCCCCACACUGGUACUGAGACACGGACCAGACUCCUACGGGAGGCAGCAGUGAGGAAUAUUGGUCAAUGGGCGAAAGCCUGAACCAGCCAUACCGCGUGAAGGAUGAAGGCUCUAGUAGUUGUAAACUUCUUUUAUGUGGGAAGAAAUCUACUCUCGUGAGAGUAGUUGACGGUACCAUAAGAAUAAGCACCGGCUAACUCCGUGCCAGCAGCCGCGGUAAUACGGAGGGUGCAAGCGUUAUCCGGAUUUAUUGGGUUUAAAGGGUACGUAGGCGGAUUAUUAAGUCAGUGGUGAAAUCCUGCAGCUCAACUGUAGAACUGCCAUUGAUACUGGUAAUCUUGAAUGUGAUUGAAGUAGGCGGAAUGUGUCAAGUAGCGGUGAAAUGCUUAGAUAUGACACAGAACACCGAUUGCGUAGGCAGCUUACUAAGUCAUUAUUGACGCUGAGGUACGAAAGCGUGGGGAGCGAACAGGAUUAGAUACCCUGGUAGUCCACGCCGUAAACGAUGAUUACUCGUUGUUGGCGAUACACAGUCAGCGACCAAGCGAAAGCAUUAAGUAAUCCACCUGGGGAGUACGUUCGCAAGAAUGAAACUCAAAGGAAUUGACGGGGGCCCGCACAAGCGGAGGAACAUGUGGUUUAAUUCGAUGAUACGCGAGGAACCUUACCUGGGCUUAAAUGUAGUACGACCGCUGCCGAAAGGUGGCUUUCCUUCGGGACGAAUUACAAGGUGCUGCAUGGUUGUCGUCAGCUCGUGCCGUGAGGUGUCGGGUUAAGUCCCAUAACGAGCGCAACCCCUAUCACUAGUUGCCAGCGAGUAAUGUCGGGAACUCUAGUGAAACUGCCGGUGUAAACCGUGAGGAAGGUGGGGAUGACGUCAAAUCAGCACGGCCCUUAUGUCCAGGGCUACACACGUGUUACAAUGGCCAGUACAAAGGGCAGCUACUUGGUGACAAGAUGCUAAUCUCUAAAGCUGGUCUCAGUUCGGAUAGAAGUCUGCAAUUCGACUUCUUGAAGUUGGAUUCGCUAGUAAUCGCACAUCAGCUACGGUGCGGUGAAUACGUUCCCGGGCCUUGUACACACCGCCCGUCAAACAAUGGAAGCUGGGGGUACCUGAAGUCUGUAACCGCAAGGAGCGGCCUAGGGUAAAACCGGUAACUGGUGUUAAGUCGUAACAAGGUAACC
Molecule: ribosomal RNA, 1483 nt
Filed under: uncultured prokaryote
Description: partial 16S ribosomal RNA
Rfam family: Bacterial small subunit ribosomal RNA
Source: RNAcentral